RNAcentral lists this ribosomal RNA (456 nucleotides) under uncultured soil bacterium. Its description in RNAcentral is "bacterial SSU rRNA". It matches the Rfam family "Bacterial small subunit ribosomal RNA", at positions 26 to 477 of the family's 1533-position model. The record is from RNAcentral.
AGAUUGAACGCUGGCGGCAUGCCUUACACAUGCAAGUCGAGCGGCAGCGCGGGGGCAACCCUGGCGGCGAGCGGCGAACGGGUGAGUAAUACAUCGGAACGUGUCCUUUCGUGGGGGAUAACCAGUCGAAAGACUGGCUAAUACCACAUGAGAUCUCACGAUGAAAGCGAGGGACCGCAAGGCCUCGCGCGAAUGGAGCGGCCGAUGUCGGAUUAGCUAGUUGGCGGGUAAAAGCCCACCAAGCGACGAUCCGUAGCUGGUUGAGAGAACGACCAGCCACACUGGGACUGAGACACGGCCCAGACUCCUACGGGAGGCAGCAGGUGGGGUAAUUUUGGAACAAGUGGGCGCGAAGCCUGAUCCACGCCAUGCCGCGUGUGUGAAAGAAGGCCGUUGGUUGUAAGUACACUUACGGACCGGAACCGAAAGUAACGUACGUUAGUUAACGUUAGAGUA